RNAcentral lists this ribosomal RNA (991 nucleotides) under Candida tropicalis. RNAcentral's name for it is "SSU rRNA". It matches the Rfam family "Eukaryotic small subunit ribosomal RNA", at positions 74 to 1086 of the family's 1831-position model. Lineage: Eukaryota; Fungi; Ascomycota; Pichiomycetes; Serinales; Debaryomycetaceae. The record is from RNAcentral.
UUAUACAGUGAAACUGCGAAUGGCUCAUUAAAUCAGUUAUCGUUUAUUUGAUAGUACCUUACUACUUGGAUAACCGUGGUAAUUCUAGAGCUAAUACAUGCUUAAAAUCCCGACUGUUUGGAAGGGAUGUAUUUAUUAGAUAAAAAAUCAAUGUCUUCGGACUCUUUGAUGAUUCAUAAUAACUUUUCGAAUCGCAUGGCCUUGUGCUGGCGAUGGUUCAUUCAAAUUUCUGCCCUAUCAACUUUCGAUGGUAGGAUAGUGGCCUACCAUGGUUUCAACGGGUAACGGGGAAUAAGGGUUCGAUUCCGGAGAGGGAGCCUGAGAAACGGCUACCACAUCCAAGGAAGGCAGCAGGCGCGCAAAUUACCCAAUCCCGACACGGGGAGGUAGUGACAAUAAAUAACGAUACAGGGCCCUUUCGGGUCUUGUAAUUGGAAUGAGUACAAUGUAAAUACCUUAACGAGGAACAAUUGGAGGGCAAGUCUGGUGCCAGCAGCCGCGGUAAUUCCAGCUCCAAAAGCGUAUAUUAAAGUUGUUGCAGUUAAAAAGCUCGUAGUUGAACCUUGGGCUUGGUUGGCCGGUCCAUCUUUCUGAUGCGUACUGGACCCAACCGAGCCUUUCCUUCUGGCUAGCCUUUUGUGGCGAACCAGGACUUUUACUUUGAAAAAAUUAGAGUGUUCAAAGCAGGCCUUUGCUCGAAUAUAUUAGCAUGGAAUAAUAGAAUAGGACGUUAUGGUUCUAUUUUGUUGGUUUCUAGGACCAUCGUAAUGAUUAAUAGGGACGGUCGGGGGUAUCAGUAUUCAGUUGUCAGAGGUGAAAUUCUUGGAUUUACUGAAGACUAACUACUGCGAAAGCAUUUACCAAGGACGUUUUCAUUAAUCAAGAACGAAAGUUAGGGGAUCGAAGAUGAUCAGAUACCGUCGUAGUCUUAACCAUAAACUAUGCCGACUAGGGAUCGGUUGUUGUUCUUUUUUAUUGACGCACUCGGCAC